GGGGAUGACAGGCUUCGACGGGAGAGGCUGGUCCCAGAUUGCGAGCCGAGAGGUACCGACCUCGAUAAAUCAGUACAAUGCUAUGCCUCUCGCUGCCUAGUGAGAGACUAGUAGCCGAAUGGUUCCUUUGAGGACCACGUCUAUCUACCCCGCCUCCUGACCGGUGGAAGAAUAGGCGACACAAAGUCAGGGUGCCAUAUUUCAAUCUGCAGGAAAUAUGAAAGAGGACUUUCGGGUCUGAGCAGAUAGCACUACAUCAGUUUUGUUAGUUGUCUGAUGUAGCUGCAAAUGGAUCAACUAACUACGCUCGUAGAUAUCUGUUGAUCUAUUCUUUCGGACGCGGGUUCGAUUCCCGCCAUCUCCACUA
This 367-nucleotide transfer-messenger RNA is filed under the name Anaerolineaceae. RNAcentral describes it as "UBA6170 sp002842045 Standard tmRNA". It matches the Rfam family "transfer-messenger RNA". Rfam says of the family: Bacterial tmRNA, also known as 10Sa RNA or SsrA, is named for its dual tRNA and mRNA-like properties. Its role is to liberate the mRNA from a stalled ribosome. Lineage: Bacteria; Bacillati; Chloroflexota; Anaerolineae; Anaerolineales. RNAcentral also lists the same sequence under 1 other name. The record is from RNAcentral.